UACAGAGGGUGCGAGCGUUAAUCGGAAUUAUUGGGCGUAAAGGGCGUGUAGGCGGAUAUUUAAGUUAGGUGUGAAAUACUUGGGCUCAACCUGGGGACUGCAUCUAAAACUGGAUAUCUAGAGUAUAGUAGAGGGAAGUGGAAUUUCCGGAGUAGCGGUGGAAUGCAUAGAUACCGGAAGGAACAUCAGUGGCGAAGGCGGCUUCCUGGACUAAUACUGACGCUGAGGCGCGAAAGCAUGGGUAGCAAACAGGAUUAGAUACCCUGGUAGUCCAUGCUGUAAACGAUGAGAACUAGGCGUUGGGAUUUCGAUCUUAGUGCCGCAGCUAACGCGAUAAGUUCUCCGCCUGGGGAGUACGGCCGCAAGGUUA
RNAcentral lists this ribosomal RNA (370 nucleotides) under uncultured prokaryote. RNAcentral describes it as "bacterial SSU rRNA". It matches the Rfam family "Bacterial small subunit ribosomal RNA", at positions 524 to 896 of the family's 1533-position model. The record is from RNAcentral.